CUGAAUGAUCGGCAGGUGCGACGUUAUCGGAUUUACUGGGCGUAAGCUCGUGCGUAGGCGGCUUAUUAAGUCGGAUGUGAAAUCCCCGAGCUUAACUUGGGAAUUGCAUUCGAUACUGGUGAGCUAGAGUAUGGGAGAGGAUGGUAGAAUUCCAGGUGUAGCGGUGAAAUGCGUAGAGAUCUGGAGGAAUACCGAUGGCGAAGGCAGCCAUCUGGCCUAAUACUGACGCUGAGGUACGAAAGCAUGGGGAGCAAACAGGAUUAGAUACCCUGGUAGUCCAUGCCGUAAACGAUGUCUACUAGCCGUUGGGGCCUUUGAGGCUUUAGUGGCGCAGCUAACGCGAUAAGUAGACCGCCUGGGGAGUACGGUCGCAAGACUAAAACUCAAAGGGAAUUGACGGGGAGGGGGCCCCCCCUCACG
RNAcentral lists this ribosomal RNA (420 nucleotides) under Acinetobacter baumannii. RNAcentral's name for it is "bacterial SSU rRNA". It matches the Rfam family "Bacterial small subunit ribosomal RNA", at positions 518 to 1383 of the family's 1533-position model. Lineage: Bacteria; Pseudomonadati; Pseudomonadota; Gammaproteobacteria; Moraxellales; Moraxellaceae. The record is from RNAcentral.